Molecule: ribosomal RNA, 388 nt
Filed under: Escherichia coli
Lineage: Bacteria; Pseudomonadati; Pseudomonadota; Gammaproteobacteria; Enterobacterales; Enterobacteriaceae
Description: bacterial SSU rRNA
Rfam family: Bacterial small subunit ribosomal RNA
Source: RNAcentral
UCAAAGGAGACUGCCAGUGAUAAACUGGAGGAAGGUGGGGAUGACGUCAAGUCAUCAUGGCCCUUACGACCAGGGCUACACACGUGCUACAAUGGCGCAUACAAAGAGAAGCGACCUCGCGAGAGCAAGCGGACCUCAUAAAGUGCGUCGUAGUCCGGAUUGGAGUCUGCAACUCGACUCCAUGAAGUCGGAAUCGCUAGUAAUCGUGGAUCAGAAUGCCACGGUGAAUACGUUCCCGGGCCUUGUACACACCGCCCGUCACACCAUGGGAGUGGGUUGCAAAAGAAGUAGGUAGCUUAACCUUCGGGAGGGCGCUUACCACUUUGUGAUUCAUGACUGGGGUGAAGUCGUAACAAGGUAACCGUAGGGGAACCUGCGGUUGGAUCAC